Molecule: long non-coding RNA, 1061 nt
Organism: Acanthochromis polyacanthus (spiny chromis)
Lineage: Eukaryota; Metazoa; Chordata; Actinopteri; Pomacentridae
Exons: 3
Source: RefSeq, a predicted model, not a curated record
CAAUCAGAAGAUAGAACAGGUCAGUAGGAGUCCAGACUUCCUAAAACUGUUUGAGAUGGUGAUCGGUCAGAACACUGGAAGGUGGUUGUGAGGAACCACGAUGGAGGGAACCUAAAAAAAAAUCUUGUUGACUGCAGAGAGAACAUGCAGCAGAGCAAAGCAGGAGGUCCAGUUUAUCAUGGAACACUGCUGCUGGUGUUAGGCAUAGGAUAGGGCUAGAUUUAAAGGUGUGAUCGGGGCUAGAUUUAAAGGUGUGAUCGGGGCUAGAUUUAAAGGUGUGAUCGGGGCUAGAUUUAAAGGUGUGAUCAGGGCUAGAUUUAAAGGUGUGAUCAGAGCUAGAUUUAAAGGUGUGAUCGGGGCUAGAUUUAAAGGUGUGAUCGGGGCUAGAUUUAAAGGUGUGAUCAGGGCUAGAUUUAAAGGUGUGAUCAGAGCUAGAUUUAAAGGUGUGAUCAGAGCUAGAUUUAAAGGUGUGAUCAGGGCUAGAUUUAAAGGUGUGAUCAGAGCUAGAUUUAAAGGUGUGAUCGGGGCUAGAUUUAAAGGUGUGAUCGGGGCUAGAUUUAAAGGUGUGAUCGGGGCUAGAUUUAAAGGUGUGAUCAGGGCUAGAUUUAAAGGUGUGAUCAGAGCGAGAUUUAAAGGUGUGAUCAGGGCUAGAUUUAAAGGUGUGAUCAGGGCUAGAUUUAAAGGUGUGAUCAGGGCUAGAUUUAAAGGUGUGAUCAGAGCUAGAUUUAAAGGUGUGAUCAGAGCUAGAUUUAAAGGUGUGAUCAGAGCUAGAUUUAAAGGUGUGAUCGGGGCUAGAUUUAAAGGUGUGAUCAGAGCUAGAUUUAAAGGUGUGAUCAGGGCUAGAUUUAAAGGUGUGAUCAGGGCUAGAUUUAAAGGUGUGAUCGGGGCUAGAUUUAAAGGUGUGAUCAGAGCUAGAUUUAAAGGUGUGAUCAGGGCUAGAUUUAAAGGUGUGAUCAGAGCUAGAUUUAAAGGUGUGAUCAGAGCUAGAUUUAAAGGUGUGAUCAGAGCUAGAUUUAAAGGUGUGAUCAGAGCUAGAUUUAAAGGUGUGAUCAGGGCUGGAU